GUCUACUACCAUGCCACCCUGAACAAGCCCAAUCCCUUCUGAUCUCUGAAGCUAAGCAGGGUCUGGCUUGGUUAGUACUUGGAUGGGAGACCACCUAGGAAGACAAGGUGCUGUAGGCG
This 119-nucleotide ribosomal RNA is filed under the name Pteropus alecto (black flying fox). The record is from RNAcentral. Lineage: Eukaryota; Metazoa; Chordata; Mammalia; Chiroptera; Pteropodidae.